GCCAAACAGCUAGCUCAAUUACCCAAUAACUAAACAAUAUAAAUAAAACAAAAUAAGCCUAACACCAAAAAUUAAAUCAUUCUUUUACCUUAGUAUGGGCGACAGAAAAGGUUACACCUGGAGCAAUAGAAAAAGUACCGCAAGGGAAAGCUGAAAGAGAAAUGAAAUAACUUAUAUAAGCACCAAAAAGCAAAGAUUAAAUCUUGUACCUUUCGCAUCAUGAUUUAGCCAGUAUAUCCAAGCAAAGAGACCUUUAGUUUGAAACCCCGAAACCAAGUGAGCUACCCCGAGACAGCCUAUUAAGGGCCAACCCGUCUCUGUGGCAAAAGAGUGGGAAGAGCUCCGGGUAGAGGUGACAGACCUACCGAACUUGGUGAUAGCUGGUUGCCUAAGAAGUGAAUAGAAGUUCAGCCUCGUACUCCCUGAAUCAAAAGAUAUAAAAAGAUAUUAGAGGGAAAUAUAUGAGAGUUAGUUAAAGGGGGUACAGCCCCUUUAACAAAGGACACAACCUUUCCAGGAGGAUAAAGAUCAUAAUACAUAAGACAUCCUGUUCUAGUGGGCCUAAAGGCAGCCAUCUAAACAGAAAGCGUUAAAGCUCAGACAGAAAUAAGUUUAUUAUUCCGACAAGAAAUCUUACUCCCCUAAAUAUUAUUAGGCCAGCCCAUGCCCACAUGGGAGAGACUAUGCUAAAAUGAGUAACAAGAAGGCCAGCCCUUCUCCAAGCACAAGUGUAAGCCAAACCGGACCAACCAUUGGCAAUUAACGAACUCAACCCGAGAGAGUAAUGUGUAUUACAACGAAACCAGGAAGAACCCACAAUUAACCCAUCGUUACCCCCACACUGGCGUGCUAUUAAAGGAAAGACUAAAAGAAGGGAAAGGAACUCGGCAAACACAAGCCUCGCCUGUUUACCAAAAACAUCGCCUCCUGCAACACAACCAAGUAUAGGAGGUCCAGCCUGCCCAGUGACUACAAGUUCAACGGCCGCGGUAUUUUGACCGUGCAAAGGUAGCGCAAUCACUUGUCUCUUAAAUGGAGACCUGUAUGAAUGGCUAAACGAGGGCUUAACUGUCUCCCCCCUCCAGUCAGUGAAAUUGAUCUACCCGUGCAGAAGCGGG
This 1118-nucleotide ribosomal RNA is filed under the name Schizopygopsis stoliczkai (false osman). RNAcentral's name for it is "partial 16S ribosomal RNA". It matches the Rfam family "Bacterial large subunit ribosomal RNA", at positions 157 to 2065 of the family's 2925-position model. The record is from RNAcentral. Lineage: Eukaryota; Metazoa; Chordata; Actinopteri; Cypriniformes; Cyprinidae.